CACGGGGGUUGCGAGCGUUGUCCGGAAUUACUAGGCGUAAAGGGCGUGUAGGCGGCCGAUUAAGUCUGGAGUGAAAGUCCUGCUUUAAAGGUGGGAAUUGCUUUGGAGACUGGUUGGCUUGAGUGCGGAAGAGGUAAGUGGAAUUCCCAGUGUAGCGGUGAAAUGCGUAGAGAUUGGGAGGAACACCAGUGGCGAAGGCGACUUACUGGGCCGUAACUGACGCUGAGGCGCGAAAGCGUGGGGAGCGAACAGGAUUAGAUACCCUGGUAGUCCACGCUGUAAACGAUGAAUGCUAGGUGUAGCGGGUACCGACCCCUGCUGUGCCGCAGUUAACACAAUAAGCAUUCCGCCUGGGGAGUACGGCCGCAAGGUUGAA
RNAcentral lists this ribosomal RNA (376 nucleotides) under uncultured bacterium. RNAcentral's name for it is "bacterial SSU rRNA". It matches the Rfam family "Bacterial small subunit ribosomal RNA", at positions 524 to 898 of the family's 1533-position model. The record is from RNAcentral.